AACGAACGCUGGCGGCAUGCCUAACACAUGCAAGUCGAACGAGACCUUCGGGUCUAGUGGCGCACGGGUGCGUAACGCGUGGGAACCUGCCCUUAGGUUCGGAAUAACUCCCCGAAAGGGGUGCUAAUACCGGAUAAUGUCUUCGGACCCAAGAUUUAUCGCCUUUGGUUGGGCCCGCGUUGGAUAAGCUAGUUGGUAGGGUAAAAGCCUACCAAGGCGACGAUCCAUAGCUGGGCUGAGAGGAUGAUCAGCCACUCUGGGACUGGGACACGGCCCGGACUCCUACGCGAGGCAGGAAUGGGGGACGUUGGAACGCGGGGUGAGUGCUGAUCCAGCACGGCCCCGUGAGCGAUGAAAGCCUUAGGGUUGUAAAGCGCAUUUACCCGGGCUGAUAAUGACAGUACCGGGAGAAUAAGCCCCGGCUAACUCCGUG
This 433-nucleotide ribosomal RNA is filed under the name uncultured bacterium. Its description in RNAcentral is "partial 16S ribosomal RNA". It matches the Rfam family "Bacterial small subunit ribosomal RNA", at positions 29 to 507 of the family's 1533-position model. The record is from RNAcentral.